UUGAAGCAACUGCAAGCCUAAACUGAUCCUUCUAUAAGGCCUAAACUUCCAACCGAUGGAUGAGAUAUUCACGUUUAAAAGCCAACGAUUCUUUGUUACCUGUCAAGUAUUAUGGCCCUUUGUCAAGAAGAGGACCGUAUACCCGAUUCAGAGAAGGAAUUUACGAAUUGGGCCUUACAGCUGGUCACCCGAUUCAACAUACACACAUAAGUGAAACCAAUUAAGGAUUUAAGAGUAAUAUACAGAUGGCCAAGGGUGACGGUACGACUUGGAAGAAUAAAUCUGUUGUUGUGUA
Molecule: long non-coding RNA, 295 nt
Organism: Dendroctonus ponderosae (mountain pine beetle)
Lineage: Eukaryota; Metazoa; Arthropoda; Insecta; Coleoptera; Curculionidae
Exons: 2
Source: RefSeq, a predicted model, not a curated record